Molecule: long non-coding RNA, 3495 nt
Organism: Neofelis nebulosa (Clouded leopard)
Lineage: Eukaryota; Metazoa; Chordata; Mammalia; Carnivora; Felidae
Exons: 7
Source: RefSeq, a predicted model, not a curated record
GGGCUGGGCAGGGAACCGGGCGGCCAGUUUUUCUCGGGCUAGGCGAGGCCCUGUGACGUGAAGUCUUGGUCUUCAGACGGGGUACGCCUUCACCGGAGGAAAAAGAAAAGAAAUGAAAAAGAGAAAAAGAAAAAGAAAAAACAGGAAAUUUUUUGAAAAUUUGAAAAGAUGGCGCUGCUAGCCUACUGGGGUGGAUUGUUGCGGUGCCCGUAGGUGCGCAUGCGCAAGAAUGGUGAAAAUGGCGCCACCCAGCUACCCAGUCUGUUCUCCCGGAUCAGCAGUCGCACACUGGUCCUCCGUCUUCAGCUCUCAUCCAUUCCCCACUUUUCCACUCUCUGUGACCAGGCCCCAGGCAGUACUUCUCUCCCAAGUUUUGUCUCAGAUGCGGCUGUUUUCCCCAGCCCCUUACUUCGGAAGGACUGCAGUUUGACCCGUUCCGCCCCCCUGCAGGAGGGUCUCACCAAGCAAUGGCCGAAUGAGCAAUGGCUGAAUGUCAGCUGGAACGCCCAUUGGACCAUGCUGUUGCCGGUGCCCCGAGACUGCGGCCAGGUGCCAGCCCGCCCCCAAAAAAGAUCACGAGACAGUGUAGCAUCAGCGUUUCAGGGAUUAUGGAAAAUCGCAACACACAUCUGGCACCAGGCUUCACCGUCAACGACCUUGCCCCAGCACCAGCGAAUGUGGCUGCCUUCUGGGGUCUGCUGGGACCAGGUGGCUUCAAUAGUCUCUACCAAAUGUCCUUCCAGAAGUGGAACUGCUUUUCCUCUUGUGGCCUGAGAACCUCCCGGACCCCACUCUGUUCCUGGAUAUUCGUCCUUCCCACCAGAGCACCUCCAGCUCCAGACAGUUGCUGAUCUCCUAUAAUACUUGAGUUGUCAAAGUAUGGACUAAAAUAUCUGCCAGGUUCAUCUGGGCUUGUGCCAGAGGAUAAAAAAGAGAGAAUUUCUACUCACUGGUCCUGUUUCCCCUCUGAAGUCACCCAGAUGCAUAAGGAUUCCAAGAUAAAGAAUAUUUGUAGCCACCUAGAAGACUCCUAUGUGCCUCCAUUCAGUGAACACUCACCCGUCAAUGACAGCCCCUAUUCUAGUGAGUUUGCCUGUUUUUGAACUUCAGAGAGACUCAGAGUGCGAGUCGGGAGGGACAGAGAAAGAGAGGAAGACACAGAAUUUGAAACAGACUCCAGGCAAAGCCCAACGCGGGACUCGAACUCAGGAAUGGCGAGAUCAUGACCUGAGCCGAAGUUGGAAUGUUUAACCGACUGAAACAUCCUGGCAUCCCUAAUAUUCUCUAAUAAUUUCUAACAUUGCUCUCAGCCAUUUGUAUUUAUCAGUAUGAGUUUGGAUCAGGUCAGUUUGUGAGUUAGGUCAGGGCUCAGGUUAUAUCUAAGAUUAGAGCUCAAUCUGCCGCUAAGGUCAUGGCUCAUACUUCGGUUGGGAUCAGGGUUCACCCUGUGAUUACAGCUCCAUCUAUGGUGGGCUAUGAACAUAAUCUGUGAUUAGGGUAGAGACCUGUCUGUGACUAGUGUUAAGGCUCCAUCUGUGCUGUAAUCAGGUCUCAGCCUGUGGCAGAGAUCAGAUUUGUUCGUGGUGGGCACAAGGAUUCAAUCAGGGGCUGGGCUCAUAGCAGGAUAGGGUUCUAUUCCGGGAAAGAAGGUCAUGAAGUGUUGGUCAGAAGUUCAAAGAGUCCAUUGAGUUGCUGUCAGAUCAGAGGACUGAGCAGAUGGGGGAACCAGAGAACCAAGUGGGGGGGGGGGGUGUCAAAUAGAAUUGGUGACUGCCAUCACCAUGGCUUACAUUAAAAGGACUAACCAUACCAAGUGUGGGUGAGGAUUUGGAGCACCUGGAGCUUUCUUAUAUUGCUCGUAGGAGUAUACAUUGAAAAACUAUAUUGAACAGCUCUGGCAGUAUAAAUAAAGGUAGGCAUACAUAUGUAUGCCAUCUGGGUUCAGCAUUUCCACUCCUGGAAUUGACAGACAACUGCUACACACAACAUGGAUAAAUCUCAUGAAAUAGUGUUAAGCAAAAGAAGCCAGACACCAACGAAUAUUUUAUGAUUCCAUUUAUAAGAAGUUCAAAAACAGACAAAAUUAAUCUAUGAUGAUAGGAACUAGAUAAGUGUUACAUUUGGGGGAGAUAUUAACUGGAGGGGGGCACAAAGGAGCCUUCCAAAAGUCUAUGUUUUGAACUGGAUGGUGGUUACACCAUACAUAAAAAUUCACUGAACAUUUAACAUUUGUACCUUUUGCUACAUGUAAGUUCUAUCUCAAUGAGAGAAAAGAGAGUAAGGAAACCGUAUGGAAGUGUGGUUGGCUAGGGACACCUGGCUGGCUCAGUUGGUAGAACAUGUGACUCUUGAUCUCAGGGUGGUGAGUUCCAGCCCCACAAUGGGUGUUGAGAUUACUUAAGAAAAAAAAAAUUUUUUUUAAGUGUGGUUGAGGGGAACCUGGCUGGCUCAGCUGACUGAGUGUUGGACUCUUGAUUUUGGCUUGGGUCAUGAUCCCAGGGUCAUGGAGUCGAGCCCCGAGUUGGACUCCAUGCUGGCCAUGGAGCCUGUUUGGAUUCUCUCUCUCUCUCUCUCUCUCUCUCUCCCUCUCUGCCCUUCUCGCGGGUUCACAUGCAUACUCUCUCUCUCUUAAAAAAAAAAAAAGGUGGUUGAAAAAAAAUUUAGCUGAAGACUGGUUGGGGAGUUAAUGCCAUAAUGGCUUGUUGAGCCUGGGGAGUGGGCCUAGAGGGUGUCGGGGGUAGAGGGGUGCAGCCUUUGAAGCAAUCACACUGGGAAUAAUAUAGUGUUAGAAAGCCACACACUUGGAGUCAAAAGUCCUGAGUUUGGAUCUCAGCACUGUGCUUAGUAUCUAAUCCAGUGGGAAACAUGGUAUGUUGUGAUCUGUCAUGAGGUACCCCACAAAUUAUUCAUUGGUAAUUAUAAGUCACUGAAGCUUUUAAUAUUUUCCUAUUAAUUCCUUUCAAUUCGUGAUACAUGCAUUUGGUUACAAACAAAUUAAGCCUUAUAGAACAGUAUACAGUGAAAAGUCUAUUUUACUCCCAUUUCUGACUCCAAACACCAGUUCCUCAGUCUCCCUCUUGAGAGACAACCACUAUCAUUGGCUUCUUAAAUAUCAUUCCAGAGAGUCUAUGCAUAUUUUUUUUAAUGUGUAUUUAUUUUUGAGAGAAAGACAGAGAGUGAGCAGGGGAGGGGCAGAGAGAGAGGGAGACACAGAAUCUGAAGCAGGCUCCAGGGUCUGUGCUGUCAGCACAGAGCCCAAUGCGGGGCUCGAACUCAUAGACUGUGAGAUCAUGACCUGAGCCGAAGUCAGAUGCUCAACCAACUGUGCCACCCAGGCACCCCAGAGUCUAUGCAUAUUCAUGAAUUAUGUCCUUGCAGAAAAUCACAAGGUACCCCUGUAAUAAUGUUGCUUAUAUAUUGAAUGCUUUAUUUUGUUUUCAAAAUGGAAUUAAGUUUUCAUUAUAAAAAUAACACAUGUUUAUUUAAAAUUGUAUA